GCCGAAGUGGUGGAAUGGUAGACACGAAUGCCUUAGGAGCAUUUACCUUAGAGUGUGUGGGUUCGAGUCCCACCUUCGGUA
RNAcentral lists this transfer RNA (81 nucleotides) under bacterium. Its description in RNAcentral is "tRNA-Leu". It matches the Rfam family "tRNA". Rfam says of the family: Transfer RNA (tRNA) molecules are approximately 80 nucleotides in length. The record is from RNAcentral.